UGGGGAAUUUUGGACAAUGGGCGCAAGCCUGAUCCAGCCAUGCCGCGUGUCUGAAGAAGGCCUUCGGGUUGUAAAGGACUUUUGUCAGGGAAGAAAAGGACAGGGUUAAUACCUCUGUUUGAUGACGGUACCUGAAGAAUAAGCACCGGCUAACUACGUGCCAGCAGCCGCGGUAAUACGUAGGGUGCGAGCGUUAAUCGGAAUUACUGGGCGUAAAGCGAGCGCAGACGGUUACUUAAGCAGGAUGUGAAAUCCCCGGGCUCAACCUGGGGACUGCAUUCGAAACUGGCAGGCUAGAGUCUUGUAGAGGGGGGUAGAAUUCCAGGUGUAGCGGUGAAAUGCGUAGAGAUCUGGAGGAAUACCGGUGGCGAAGGCGGCCCCCUGGACAAAGACUGACGCUCAGGUGCGAAAGCGUGGGGAGCAAACAGGAUUAGAUACCCUGGUAGUCCACGCUGUAAACGAUGUCGAUUUGGAGGUUGUGCCCUUGAGGCGUGGCUUCCGGAGCUAACGCGUUAAAUCGACCGCCUGGGGAGUACGGCCGCAAGGUUA
This 549-nucleotide ribosomal RNA is filed under the name uncultured bacterium. RNAcentral describes it as "bacterial SSU rRNA". It matches the Rfam family "Bacterial small subunit ribosomal RNA", at positions 355 to 896 of the family's 1533-position model. The record is from RNAcentral.